GGAGUUAGCCGGUGCUUCUUCUGCGAGUAACGUCACAGAUGUAAGGUAUUAACUUACACCCUUUCCUCCUCGCUGAAAGUGCUUUACAACCCGAAGGCCUUCUUCACACACGCGGCAUGGCUGCAUCAGGGUUUCCCCCAUUGUGCAAUAUUCCCCACUGCUGCCUCCCGUAGGAGUCUGGGCCGUGUCUCAGUCCCAGUGUGGCUGAUCAUCCUCUCAGACCAGCUAGGGAUCGUCGCCUAGGUGAGCCUUUACCUCACCUACUAGCUAAUCCCACCUGGGCUUAUCCAUCAGCGCAAGGCCCGAAGGUCCCCUGCUUUCCCCCGUAGGGCGUAUGCGGUAUUAGCAGUCGUUUCCAACUGUUAUCCCCCACAAAUGGGCAAAUUCCCAGGCAUUACUCACCCGUCCGCCGCUCGUCAUCUUCAAAAGCAAGCUUUUGAAAUGUUACCGCUCGACUUGCAUGUGUUAGGCCUGCCGCCAGCGUCAUCUGAGCGAGAUACAACUACUGA
RNAcentral lists this ribosomal RNA (509 nucleotides) under uncultured bacterium. RNAcentral describes it as "partial 16S ribosomal RNA". The record is from RNAcentral.